UACGUAGGGGGCAAGCGUUGUCCGGAUUUAUUGGGCGUAAAGAGCGUGUAGGCGGCUUUACAGGUCCGUUGUGAAAACUCGAGGCUCAACCUCGAGACGCCGGUGGAAACCGUAAGGCUAGAGUCCGGAAGAGGAGAGUGGAAUUCCUGGUGUAGCGGUGAAAUGCGCAGAUAUCAGGAGGAACACCCGUGGCGAAAGCGGCUCUCUGGGACGGUACGGACGCUGAGACGCGAAAGCGUGGGGAGCAAACAGG
RNAcentral lists this ribosomal RNA (253 nucleotides) under uncultured bacterium. Its description in RNAcentral is "partial 16S ribosomal RNA". It matches the Rfam family "Bacterial small subunit ribosomal RNA", at positions 524 to 776 of the family's 1533-position model. The record is from RNAcentral.